Molecule: ribosomal RNA, 250 nt
Filed under: uncultured prokaryote
Description: partial 16S ribosomal RNA
Rfam family: Bacterial small subunit ribosomal RNA
Source: RNAcentral
UACGUAGGUGGCGAGCGUUGUCCGGAAUAACUGGGCGUAAAGGGAGCGUAGGUGGUUAAGUAAGUGAAAUGUGAAAGCCCGGUGCUCAACACCGGAACUGCAUUUCAUACUGCAUAACUAGAGUGCAGGAGGGGUAAGCGGAAUUCCUAGUGUAGCGGUUAAAUGCGUAGAUAUUAGGAGGAACACCAGAGGCGAAGGCGGCUUACUGGACUGCAACUGACACUGAGGCUCGAAAGCGUGGGGAUCAAAC